RNAcentral lists this long non-coding RNA (1497 nucleotides) under Pongo abelii (Sumatran orangutan). RNAcentral's name for it is "lincRNA". The record is from RNAcentral. Lineage: Eukaryota; Metazoa; Chordata; Mammalia; Primates; Hominidae.
GGGUAAAGCAAAGUCUUCAAGGGAAGAUAACAAAGGAUGAAACAAUGGUGUUGUGUGACUUCCUAGUGUGAAUCACGGCAAUACAGUGAAAGACGGUGAUUUACUGCUUUUGAGGGCGUGCAUGUAUAUGAUUAAGGGAUGGAAGUGCAGGACUCCAAGAUUUACUUCCUUCCCUUUCCAGCAGAACUACCUGAGAGGAGUCAAAUCUACUGAUGGAGUCACUCCAUUAUUCUUAUCUGUGGAGAUCUAGAUCUUGAUUUGAAAGUUUCUGAGAAAAUCUUCAGCUCAGACUUGAGGGUCAACUUUACCAACUGAAGGAUCUGCAUUUAUUGCUCAAUCACAUCUAAUUUGAUGUUCUCUGCAGAUUUAAAAUGUGUGCCUUCUUUUCCAUCACCAAGUCAUCCCUGGGUUACUACUGAACAUCCUUCUCAAUUCCCCCCGACCCAUGGAUGGCUGUUCUCCAUUGUCUAUUUCACCAGAUGUCCUCAAAACAAACAGACAGAAGAAGGAAGUGGCUAACGGAGCUGUGGAGUCCAAGUGUGACUGCCAAGAGGAAUCCAGCAAAGCCAAAAAGCCCAAGCAUGUAGCCCUGCCUGAAGCCCACCACACGCAUGGAAAACCCAGAGGAAAUGAGUGAGGAUCAGUGGGAAGAAGGGAGCCAGCCAGGUUCGAUGCCUUCUCCAUCCGUCAGUGAGGGUGUGGAGAGCCUGCAGGCGUGUGCCUCCCUCUGUAACUUGCUAUUCCUUGUGUAAUGUCAAGUGGAAGUGUAAAGCACCACAAACUGCUCUGAGCAGAGCCCACUUCCCUUCACCCACGGAGAGCGUGAAGCAGUUACACCAACAUCAAUCAAGGAAAACCCACAGGCUGAGCUCACACGGUUGAAGCAGGAAGUUGAAGAUUUGUCCAGGAGCAGAUAGCUGAAGAGAGAGAGAGAGAAGAGAGAAAGGCUUACAGCUCAGGUCCUCUCUCCAUGCUUAGGAACCACUACAAAUGCUACUGCCUUGAGUCUCAUUUUGUUUCCCUCUGGAAACCACAUGUGUACUUUGUUUGCAACAGUAUGGUUCUGCAGGCCAGAAGGCCAAAAUCAAAAGUAUGAGCAGGCUUGAUUUCUUUAGAAGACUCCAAGGGAGAACUGUGUCUCCUUGCUUCUGAUUCUACAUCUCCAUCCAUGGGCCACUGUUUCAGCAACCUCAGCCAGUGCAACACAACCUCAGCCAAGAAGAUUUGUUAAACUUUGGAUGGUGGAGACCUGUGCCUGCUACUUCUCUCAUCUCCUGAUAUGUAAUGCAUAGUGUUCAGGCACCGAGGAAGAGAACCAAUGGCAGAGGCCACAUGUGCAAGCAAGAUGGGAGUCUGGAGAGCCUCAGGCUAAAUCACGAGCACUCAGCGCUCUUCUCUUUGUAAGGGCAACCGGGUCACAUCUGCCAGCAUGGAGCUGCUCUGUCCACAGCCCUAAAAUUUAAUACCUAGAACAAUAAAUGCACUUAAGCACGUCAA